CACGUGAGUAACCUGCCCUUGACUCUGGGAUAAGCGCUAGAAAUGGCGUCUAAUACCGGAUACGAGCUUCAGCCGCAUGGCUAGGAGUUGGAAAGAAUUUUGGUCAAGGAUGGACUCGCGGCCUAUCAGCUAGUUGGUGAGGUAAUGGCUCACCAAGGCGACGACGGGUAGCCGGCCUGAGAGGGUGACCGGCCACACUGGGACUGAGACACGGCCCAGACUCCUACGGGAGGCAGCAGUGGGGAAUAUUGCACAAUGGGCGAAAGCCUGAUGCAGCAACGCCGCGUGAGGGAUGACGGCCUUCGGGUUGUAAACCUCUUUUAGUAGGGAAGAAGCGAAAGUGACGGUACCUGCAGAAAAAGCACCGGCUAACUACGUGCCAGCAGCCGCGGUAAUACGUAGGGUGCAAGCGUUGUCCGGAAUUAUUGGGCGUAAAGAGCUCGUAGGCGGUUUGUCGCGUCUGCUGUGAAAUCUGGGGGCUCAACCCCCAGCCUGCAGUGGGUACGGGCAGACUAGAGUGCGGUAGGGGAGAUUGGAAUUCCUGGUGUAGCGGUGGAAUGCGCAGAUAUCAGGAGGAACACCGAUGGCGAAGGCAGAUCUCUGGGCCGUAACUGACGCUGAGGAGCGAAAGCAUGGGGAGCGAACAGGAUUAGAUACCCUGGUAGUCCAUGCCGUAAACGUUGGGAACUAGAUGUGGGGGCCAUUCCACGGUCUCCGUGUCGCAGCUAACGCAUUAAGUUCCCCGCCUGGGGAGUACGGCCGCAAGGCUAAAACUCAAAGGAAUUGACGGGGGCCCGCACAAGCGGCGGAGCAUGCGGAUUAAUUCGAUGCAACGCGAAGAACCUUACCAAGGCUUGACAUAUACCGGAAACGUCCAGAGAUGGUCGCCCCGCAAGGUCGGUAUACAGGUGGUGCAUGGUUGUCGUCAGCUCGUGUCGUGAGAUGUUGGGUUAAGUCCCGCAACGAGCGCAACCCUCGUUCUAUGUUGCCAGCACGUUAUGGUGGGAACUCAUAGGAGACUGCCGGGGUCAACUCGGAGGAAGGUGGGGAUGACGUCAAAUCAUCAUGCCCCUUAUGUCUUGGGCUUCACGCAUGCUACAAUGGCCGGUACAAAGGGCUGCGAUACCGUAAGGUGGAGCGAAUCCCAAAAAGCCGGUCUCAGUUCGGAUUGAGGUCUGCAACUCGACCUCAUGAAGUCGGAGUCGCUAGUAAUCGCAGAUCAGCAACGCUGCGGUGAAUACGUUCCCGGGCCUUGUACACACCGCCCGUCAAGUCAUGAAAGUCGGUAACACCCGAAGCCAGUGAGCCUAUC
This 1312-nucleotide ribosomal RNA is filed under the name Frigoribacterium sp. PDD-35b-13. RNAcentral describes it as "bacterial SSU rRNA". It matches the Rfam family "Bacterial small subunit ribosomal RNA", at positions 114 to 1440 of the family's 1533-position model. Lineage: Bacteria; Bacillati; Actinomycetota; Actinomycetes; Micrococcales; Microbacteriaceae. The record is from RNAcentral.